GAUCCUGGCUUAGGACGAACGCUGGCGGCGUGCUUAACACAUGCAAGUUGAACGGUAUGACAUGGAAGCCUGCUGAAGUGUCAUAUAGUAGCGGACGGGUGAGUAAUGCAUGAGAAGCUGCCAUUGGGAGGGGGACAACAGUUGGAAACGGCUGCUAAUACCCCGUAUGCCGGAGGGUGAAAGGGAGUAAUCCGCCCGAUGAGGUGCUCAUGUCCUAUCAGCUGGUUGGUGGGGUAACGGCCUACCAAGGCGACGACGGGUAGCCGGCCUGAGAGGGUGAACGGCCACACUGGAACUGAGAUACGGUCCAGACUCCUACGGGAGGCAGCAGUGGGGAAUAUUGGGACCAAGUGGGGGCAACCCUGACCCAGCGACGCCGCGUGGGGGAAGACGGCCUUCGGGUUGUAAACCUCUUUUGUACGGGAAGAAGGAAGUGACGGUACUGUACGAAUAAGUCCCGGCUAACUACGUGCCAGCCGCCGC
This 483-nucleotide ribosomal RNA is filed under the name uncultured bacterium. RNAcentral's name for it is "bacterial SSU rRNA". It matches the Rfam family "Bacterial small subunit ribosomal RNA", at positions 15 to 518 of the family's 1533-position model. The record is from RNAcentral.